GACGAACGCUGGCGGCGUGCUUAACACAUGCAAGUCGAACGGAAAGGCCCUGCUUUUGUGGGGUGCUCGAGUGGCGAACGGGUGAGUAACACGUGAGUAACCUGCCCUUGACUUUGGGAUAACUUCAGGAAACUGGGGCUAAUACCGGAUAGGAGCUCCUGCUGCAUGGUGGGGGUUGGAAAGUUUCGGCGGUUGGGGAUGGACUCGCGGCUUAUCAGCUUGUUGGUGGGGUAGUGGCUUACCAAGGCUUUGACGGGUAGCCGGCCUGAGAGGGUGACCGGCCACAUUGGGACUGAGAUACGGCCCAGACUCCUACGGGAGGCAGCAGUGGGGAAUAUUGCACAAUGGGCGGAAGCCUGAUGCAGCAACGCCGCGUGCGGGAUGACGGCCUUCGGGUUGUAAACCGCUUUCGCCUGUGACGAGGCGUGAGUGACGGUAAUGGGUAAAGAGGCACCGGCUAACUACGUG
This 468-nucleotide ribosomal RNA is filed under the name uncultured bacterium. RNAcentral's name for it is "partial 16S ribosomal RNA". It matches the Rfam family "Bacterial small subunit ribosomal RNA", at positions 28 to 507 of the family's 1533-position model. The record is from RNAcentral.